This 247-nucleotide ribosomal RNA is filed under the name uncultured bacterium. Its description in RNAcentral is "partial 16S ribosomal RNA". It matches the Rfam family "Bacterial small subunit ribosomal RNA", at positions 540 to 784 of the family's 1533-position model. The record is from RNAcentral.
GUUGCUCGGAAUUACUGGGCGUAAAGCGUGCGUAGGUGGUUUGUUAAGUCUGUUGUGAAAGCCCCGGGCUCAACCUGGGAAUGGCGCGCGAGACGGGGGGGGCUGGAGUUCGGGAGAGGAGCGUGGAAUUCCCAGUGUAGAGGUGAAAUUCGUAGAUAUUGGGAAGAACACCGGUGGCGAAGGCGGCGCUCUGGACCGAGACUGACGCUGAGGCGCGGAAAGCGUGGGGAGCAAACAGGAUUGAGAA